CCUACGGGUGGCUGCAGUGGGGAAUAUUGGACAAUGGGGGGAACCCUGAUCCAGCCAUGCCGCGUGUGUGAAGAAGGCCCUCGGGUUGUAAAGCACUUUCAGUGAGGAAGAACGCCUGGUGGUUAAUACCCAUCAGGAAAGACAUCACUCACAGAAGAAGCACCGGCUAACUCCGUGCCAGCAGCCGCGGUAAUACGGAGGGUGCGAGCGUUAAUCGGAAUUACUGGGCGUAAAGCGCGCGUAGGUGGCUUGAUAAGCCGGUUGUGAAAGCCCCGGGCUCAACCUGGGAACGGCAUCCGGACCUGUCAAGCUAGAGUGCAGGAGAGGAAGGUAGAAUUCCCGGUGUAGCGGUGAAAUGCGUAGAGAUCGGGAGGAAUACCAGUGGCGAAGGCGGCCUUCUGGACUGACACUGACACUGAGGUGCGAAAGCGUGGGUAGCAAACAGGAUAGAUACCCUUGUAGUC
RNAcentral lists this ribosomal RNA (464 nucleotides) under Vreelandella stevensii. Its description in RNAcentral is "partial 16S ribosomal RNA". It matches the Rfam family "Bacterial small subunit ribosomal RNA", at positions 338 to 795 of the family's 1533-position model. Lineage: Bacteria; Pseudomonadati; Pseudomonadota; Gammaproteobacteria; Oceanospirillales; Halomonadaceae. The record is from RNAcentral.